CUCCUCCUACUCCUCCUUCCCCUCAUUCCCCUCUUUCUCUGAAAUGUGGCUGUGUAUUAAAUACAUAUAUAUAUACAUGUAUUUAUAUAUGUAUUUAUAUAUACGCGUGUAUACUAACCUCGACGAAGGACACAAAUUGCUCACUGGACAAGUACUACCUACUUACUAGCUAUAACGUAAUAGUAUCAGUAGAGAAGGUCGGCUCGAGUCAGACGUGAUUCGAGAUUCAGUGAAGACCAUGAAAGAACUUAAUUUUUAUUCGGUGAAGAAGAAGAAGAAGAAGAAGAGGAAGAAGAUGGAGAGGAAACGCGAUAAAGAAAUACUUUUUCUUAUUAGUUUCAUCGAAAUAUCCUAAAGAAGAAGAAGAAGAAGAGAAGAAAAAGAGAAGAAAAAAGUUAGAUGAAUUUUCUUACGUAGAAAGAAGCCUUUCUCUUUCUUUAAAAUAUCACAAAGAAAAUAAGAUAGGAGUAAGAUAAAAAUAUGGUGUGUGUGUGUGUGAGGAUAAAGGUGGGUGGGAGGGUUAUAGGGUAGAAUAAAAAAAGCAAUGCUGUGAAAGGAAAUAAGAAUCGAGCGAGUGUAACGGUGAUGUGUAGUGGUAGUGUCAUAGAGAGUGAGAGCAAGAGAAAUAAAGAAAGAAAGAAAGAAAAAGGUAUCGAUAUAAAGAGAAGAAGAAGAAGAAGAAGAAGAAGAAAGAAGAGGUAGAGAAAAAAAAGAAGAAAAAUAAGCAAAAGAAGUAGAAACGGGAGGGGGUUGAUAUCGGAGGGGGUGAAGCUAGGGUCGGUUUUCCAUCAGCGUGGAAAGGAGCUAUGAUGGCCACCACCCUCGCUUGCUUGCUCGCUUUUGAAGGUCAAGGUUUCACGCCCCUCUUCCAUCGGAGUUACGUGCUAGCGAGUAGGGGUUUGUUAGAGGGGAAGAGGGUGGUAGUAGAAGGGGCUCGAGGGCGUAUCGAGCAGAGUAGUAGUGCUGGUAACAGCAGCAGCAUCACCACCAGAAGCAUCAGCAGUAGUGGUAGUACCACCAGAGCUAGCAGCAGUAGCACCAGAAGAAGAAGCACCACCAGCAGCAGUACCAGUAGCACGAGCAACAACAACAGCAGCAGCAGAAAGAUGUUCGUAUUAGUGGUGUUGGUUGGUGGUGGUUCGUGGGUGGUUGGUCGUGGUUCGACCGAUAGAAAGAGAGAGAGAGAGAAGGUUGAGAGGGGUAGAAAGUUACGUAGGUGGCGCCGGAGGGGUGCCGAGAGCCCGGUACCCAGUAUUUAUAGCGCUUGCAAACCGAUCGAUAACGAAUAGCGACACUGCGCAGUUGAGAACCCUCGUACCAAAGUCACCCUCCCUUUCUAUUCUAUUCCUCAACCAGCUUUAACUCACCCCUUUAGAUCUUCUUCCUCUUUCUCUUUCUUAUCCUUAUUCUUCUUCUUCUUCUUUGUACUCCUUUCGGAUUUAUUUUAUUCUUAUAGUUUAGUCGUGUUUUCUUUUUUUUUUUUUUUGAUAAUAUUUGUAUUCGUUCGAUUAUUUUGGGAGCUAAGCUGAGAACAACAACGUUUAUUUUGGCCGUAAAUAUUUGUCGUUCCGCUCGAGCAAGCGAGACAGCCGAGAUGUAUCAUUGGGAUCGUCGAGGGUCCGAAGGUCGACAUAUCGAUUUGCUUGAAAUUUGAAGUACGAGGGUUUAACCCUUGCGGCGGGCCUGUGAUCGAGUGUAUACACGAUGAAUGGGAUAUGGUAGAAAGGAGGUGGAGAGAGAAAGAGAAAGAGAGAGAGAGAGAGAGAGAGAGAGGAAGAAAAAUGGAGGAUAACGAGGAAAGAGUGGUGCGGGCAAUCGACCGACCGAUGGAAAAAUUUCGACGCGGUGGAAAAAGACACGCCAUAUACCAUAUAAGUUUAUAUAUGUAUAUACACUUGGACAGACCACUACAAGGAUGCUAGCGUGA
Molecule: long non-coding RNA, 1927 nt
Organism: Polistes canadensis
Lineage: Eukaryota; Metazoa; Arthropoda; Insecta; Hymenoptera; Vespidae
Exons: 5
Source: RefSeq, a predicted model, not a curated record